This is a long non-coding RNA of Etheostoma spectabile (orangethroat darter), 117 nucleotides long. RefSeq lists it as uncharacterized. NCBI's taxonomy places the organism in Eukaryota, Metazoa, Chordata, Actinopteri, Perciformes, Percidae. The transcript has 3 exons. The record is from RefSeq and is a predicted model, not a curated record.
UAUUAUUAUUUAUUAUAUGCAUAAUGUCCUGGAUCCAUUAAAUAACUGGCCGUUAAAAAUAAAAAUGUGCCUGCCUCUAUGGGAAUUUAACAUAGGGCUGUGUUGGGUUAUUUUGUG